RNAcentral lists this transfer RNA (73 nucleotides) under Prionotus evolans (striped searobin). Its description in RNAcentral is "tRNA-Asp". It matches the Rfam family "tRNA". From Rfam's summary of the family: Transfer RNA (tRNA) molecules are approximately 80 nucleotides in length. Their secondary structure includes four short double-helical elements and three loops (D, anti-codon, and T loops). Further hydrogen bonds mediate the characteristic L-shaped molecular structure. tRNAs have two regions of fundamental functional importance: the anti-codon, which is responsible for specific mRNA codon recognition, and the 3' end, to which the tRNAs corresponding amino acid is attached (by aminoacyl-tRNA synthetases). tRNAs cope with the degeneracy of the genetic code in two manners: having more than one tRNA (with a specific anti-codon) for a particular amino acid; and 'wobble' base-pairing, i.e. permitting non-standard base-pairing at the 3rd anti-codon position. Lineage: Eukaryota; Metazoa; Chordata; Actinopteri; Perciformes; Triglidae. RNAcentral also lists the same sequence under 2 other names. The record is from RNAcentral.
AAGAUACUAGUAAAACAGUACAUUACAUUACCUUGUCGAGGUAGAAGUGUGGGUUAAAUUCCCACGUAUCUUG